RNAcentral lists this small RNA (471 nucleotides) under Malus domestica (apple). Lineage: Eukaryota; Viridiplantae; Streptophyta; Magnoliopsida; Rosales; Rosaceae. The record is from RNAcentral.
GCCUUUUAGGAACUCACUGGUUUCGGGUUCCGUCAGAACUCCGAAGUUAAGCGAGUUCAGGCAAGAAUGGUCCCAUAAUAGGUGACCUACUGGGAAGUUCUCGUAUGAGUCCAAAGCGGACAAUAUAGUGCUACGGCCGAGUCGAGACUGAGAUGUGAUAGAAUGGUAUCAGAGCCACUCUACAAUUCGGUACGGAUGUGCUGACGAGAACGUUGGGUUCCCCUGAAGUGGGGUGGAUUGUAAGAUCUCACAUCAACCAACGAAGAGAGGGUGAUGUGGAUUGUAAGAUCUCACAUCAACAUAUGGAUAGGAGGUGAUAUGUCUUAUAUGUACAUGCUCCCCUCCCUAUAGCACAAGGCAUUUUGGAAACUCACUGGUUUCGGAUUCUAUCGGAACUCCGAAGUUAAGCGAGUUCGAACGAGAGCAUUCACAGGAUGGGUGAUCCACUGGGAAGUUCUCGUGUGAGUUUUC